This 468-nucleotide ribosomal RNA is filed under the name uncultured bacterium. Its description in RNAcentral is "bacterial SSU rRNA". It matches the Rfam family "Bacterial small subunit ribosomal RNA", at positions 28 to 492 of the family's 1533-position model. The record is from RNAcentral.
GACGAACGCUGGCGGCGUGCUUAACACAUGCAAGUCGAGCGGUAAGGCCCUUUCGGGGGUACACGAGCGGCGAACGGGUGAGUAACACGUGGGUGACCUGCCCUCAGCUCUGGGAUAAGCCUGGGAAACCGGGUCUAAUACCGGAUAUGACUCCAUGACGCAUGUUGUGGGGUGGAAAGCCUUGUGCGGCUGAGGAUGGGCCCGCGGCCUAUCAGCUUGUUGGUGGGGUGAUGGCCUACCAAGGCGACGACGGGUAGCCGGCCUGAGAGGGCGACCGGCCACACUGGGACUGAGACACGGCCCAGACUCCUACGGGAGGCAGCAGUGGGGAAUCUUGCGCAAUGGGCGAAAGCCUGACGCAGCGACGCCGCGUGAGGGAGGAAAUCCUUCGGGAUGUAAACCUCACAAGCAAGGGAAGAGAGCUCAGGGCCGAAUAAGCUUUGAGUCCGACGGUACCUUGCGUAAGCC